AGGACGAACGCUGGCGGCGUGCUUAACACAUGCAAGUCGAGCGGUAAGGCUCCUUCGGGAGUACACGAGCGGCGAACGGGUGAGUAACACGUGAGUAAUCUGCCCUUCACUUCGGGAUAACCGCCGGAAACGGCGGCUAAUACCGAAUACGACGCACUCUCGCAUGAGAUGUGCGUGGAAAGUUUUCUCGGUGAAGGAUGUGCUCGCGGCCUAUCAGCUUGUUGGUGAGGUAACGGCUCACCAAGGCUUCGACGGGUAGCCGGCCUGAGAGGGUGACCGGCCACACUGGGACUGAGACACGGCCCAGACUCCUACGGGAGGCAGCAGUGGGGAAUAUUGGACAAUGGGCGAAAGCCUGAUCCAGCAACGCCGCGUGAGGGAUGACGGCCUUCGGGUUGUAAACCUCUUUCAGUACCGACGAAGCGCCAAUAACGGUGGUGACGGUAGGUACAGAAGAAGGACCGGCCAACUACGUGCCAGCAGCCGC
RNAcentral lists this ribosomal RNA (487 nucleotides) under uncultured bacterium. RNAcentral describes it as "SSU rRNA". It matches the Rfam family "Bacterial small subunit ribosomal RNA", at positions 26 to 518 of the family's 1533-position model. The record is from RNAcentral.